Molecule: ribosomal RNA, 478 nt
Filed under: uncultured organism
Description: partial 16S ribosomal RNA
Rfam family: Bacterial small subunit ribosomal RNA
Source: RNAcentral
CGUACACUCCUGCGGGAGGCAGCAGUGGGGAAUAUUGCACAAUGGGCGCAAGCCUGAUGCAGCCAUGCCGCGUGUAUGAAGAAGGCCUUCGGGUUGUAAAGUACUUUCAGCGGGGAGGAAGGCAAUACGGUUAAUAACCGUGUUGAUUGACGUUACCCGCAGAAGAAGCACCGGCUAACUCCGUGCCAGCAGCCGCGGUAAUACGGAGGGUGCAAGCGUUAAUCGGAAUUACUGGGCGUAAAGCGCACGCAGGCGGUCUGUCAAGUCGGAUGUGAAAUCCCCGGGCUCAACCUGGGAACUGCAUUCGAAACUGGCAGGCUUGAGUCUUGUAGAGGGGGGUAGAAUUCCAGGUGUAGCGGUGAAAUGCGUAGAGAUCUGGAGGAAUACCGGUGGCGAAGGCGGCCCCCUGGACAAAGACUGACGCUCAGGUGCGAAAGCGUGGGGAGCAAACAGGAUUAGAUACCCGAGUAGUCCCAUG